CAACAUAGGUAGUAAACGAGUUGACAGCUGAAGUGCCAGCAGGAGAUGAUGCAAUAGUUGAAUAGUGGCCAGGGGCCAAGCGUCCCAGAGUCAGUCACAUGUACGGUAUGUGUAUGUCUCCGGGACCAAGCGGUGAAUGCACUUGGAUGCAGCUGGUGGCUCGUUCCUGCAGUGAAGCUCCUUUAAGUCGGUAGAGGCGUGAACGGGUGUUGGACCAUGCCCUAUGCCAGUGACGGC
Long non-coding RNA from Myzus persicae (green peach aphid), 237 nucleotides. RefSeq lists it as uncharacterized. The transcript is spliced from 2 exons. The record is from RefSeq and is a predicted model, not a curated record. NCBI's taxonomy places the organism in Eukaryota, Metazoa, Arthropoda, Insecta, Hemiptera, Aphididae.